Molecule: non-coding RNA, 89 nt
Organism: Ceratotherium simum simum (southern white rhinoceros)
Lineage: Eukaryota; Metazoa; Chordata; Mammalia; Perissodactyla; Rhinocerotidae
Source: RefSeq, a predicted model, not a curated record
GAAACUUAGUAACCUUCUGAUAUUCCUUGCAGACACAGAAACUUCAAUUUCAGAUUGAGCUGAAAUAAAAGGAAAUCAAUAUACAGAUG